This 492-nucleotide ribosomal RNA is filed under the name uncultured bacterium. RNAcentral's name for it is "partial 16S ribosomal RNA". It matches the Rfam family "Bacterial small subunit ribosomal RNA", at positions 29 to 507 of the family's 1533-position model. The record is from RNAcentral.
AGUGAACGCUGGCGGUAGGCCUAACACAUGCAAGUCGAACGGCAGCACAGUAAGAGCUUGCUCUUACGGGUGGCGAGUGGCGGACGGGUGAGGAAUACAUCGGAAUCUACUUUUUCGUGGGGGAUAACGUAGGGAAACUUACGCUAAUACCGCAUACGACCUACGGGUGAAAGCAGGGGAUCUUCGGACCUUGCGCGAUUGAAUGAGCCGAUGUCGGAUUAGCUAGUUGGCGGGGUAAAGGCCCACCAAGGCGACGAUCCGUAGCUGGUCUGAGAGGAUGAUCGGCCACACUGGAACUGAGACACGGUCCAGACUCCUACGGGAGGCAGCAGUGGGGAAUAUUGGACAAUGGGCGCAAGCCUGAUCCAGCCAUACCGCGUGAGUGAAGAAGGCCUUCGGGUUGUAAAGCCCUUUUGUUGGGAAAGAAAAGCAGCAGGUUAAUACCCCGCUGUUCUGACGGUACCCAAAGAAUAAGCACCGGCUAACUUCGUG